Long non-coding RNA from Sorex fumeus (smoky shrew), 393 nucleotides. RefSeq lists it as uncharacterized. Lineage: Eukaryota; Metazoa; Chordata; Mammalia; Eulipotyphla; Soricidae. The record is from RefSeq and is a predicted model, not a curated record. The transcript has 3 exons.
CCAGGAAUGUGCUGCUUCAGAUGCUGAAAUGUCAAUGUCCUGUUAUCUGCUUCAAUGCUAAGGAUUUUGUGAAGACUGUGCUGUAGUUUCUUGGUAACGAUUGCAGUUGGAAGCAAGUUGCAAAGUUUGUGGGACUGGACCCCAGAAUUGCCUUCUGGCUGCUAGAUCAUAGUGACACUGCACCUUCUUUCAAAGAGUUAGUAGGGAAAUACUUGGAAAGCGUGACCACAGUGAAUGUGAGCAGCACCUAUAGAAACUCAUCAAGAAAUACUGUGAAUCAGAACAUCUGUGCCAACAUGAGGGUCCUCCAUAGCCUGAUCAUGCUCCUUUGUUCUCAGCUGAAGGCAAGAUGUUUCCCUGACUCAGUCCCUCCUGCUUUCUGCUGUUAUUCGC